AACGAACGCUGGCGGCGUGCUUAACACAUGCAAGUCGAACGGAAAGGCCCUGCUUUUGGGCGGUGGUCGACUUGCGAAGGGGUAACUUACACGUGGGUACCCUGCACUUCACUUUGGGAUGACUUAAUGACACUGAGUCUCAUCGCGGCUAGGAGCUCCUGCUGCUUGGUGGGGGUUGGUAAGUUUAGGCGGUUGGGAAUGGACUCGCGUCUUAUCAGCUUGUUGGUGGGGUAGUGGCUUACCAAGGCUUGGACAGGUAGCAGGCCUGAGAGGGUGACAGGCCACACUGGGACUGAGAUACGACACAGACUCGUAUGGGAGGCAGCAGUGGGGAGUAGUGCACAAUGGGAUGAAGCCUGAUGUAGCAACGCCGCGUGCGGGAUGACGGCCUUGGGGUUGGAUACCGCUGUCGCUUGUGACGAAGCGUGAGUGACGGUAAUGGGUGAAGAAGCACCGGCUAACUACGUG
RNAcentral lists this ribosomal RNA (468 nucleotides) under uncultured bacterium. RNAcentral describes it as "partial 16S ribosomal RNA". It matches the Rfam family "Bacterial small subunit ribosomal RNA", at positions 28 to 507 of the family's 1533-position model. The record is from RNAcentral.